RNAcentral lists this long non-coding RNA (1077 nucleotides) under Apteryx rowi (Okarito brown kiwi). RNAcentral's name for it is "lncRNA (ENSARWG00000001329.1)". Lineage: Eukaryota; Metazoa; Chordata; Aves; Apterygiformes; Apterygidae. The record is from RNAcentral.
AUGCCUCUCCUCUUUCUUUCCCUCUGUCCAGCUCCCCAUCUCUCUGUCUGGGUCUGCAGCCUUCUCUUCCGCUCCCCAUCCCUCUCUGCCACUCCCUGUUCCUCUGUCCAGCUUUUCAUCCUUCUCUUUCUCUCCCCAUUGCUCUGUCUGGCCCCCUGUCCAUCUUUUACUUUUUUCCAUCCCUCUGUCCAUCCGUACUUCCCUCUGUCUACUUCCCCAGCCCUCUUUUCACAUCCUCUGCUCCCCAUUCCUCUGACUGGCUUCCCAUCACUGUAUCUGGCUCUCCAUCCUCCUGUCUCUCCCUGUCACACUCCCCAGCCUGCUGUCCCUCUGCUUCUUUCACCAUCCCUCUGUUGCCUCUCCAUACCUCUCUUUCCCUUUCCUUCUCUCUCUCCACAUCUCCAGUCUUUUACUUCUUUUUCCAUCCCUCUCUUCUGUUGCCCAUCCCUUUGUCUGCCUCUGCCUCCCUCUCUUUUCCUUUCCAUCUCUCUAUCCACCUUCCCAUCCUUCUCUUCCGCUCCCUGCCCCUCUGUCCCAUUUCCAUCCUUUUCUUUCACUCCCUGUCACUCUGUCUCUCUCCCUGUCCAUCUGUUUGUCUCCCCAUCCCUCUCUCUACUUCUUUCUUUUUCCUUUCCAUCCCUCUGUCUCUCCAUCCUUCUAGCUCCCCGUUCUCCUGUCAAGCUCCGUCUCCCUCUUUUCCUCUAUUUAUUCUUCUGUCCACUUUUACAUCCCUCUUUUUCUCUCCUGCUGUGUCCAGGUCUCCAGCCUUCUCUUUCUUUCUCCAUCCCUCUGUCAAGCUCUCUAUCCCUCUUUUCCUUUCUUCUGCUCCCCCUCCCUUUGUCUGGCUCCUUGCCCCUCUGUGCACCUGAAGGUCUGUCAUUCCUUGUGUUUUGUCUGGUUUUGCAGGUGCCAAGAGGUGGUUGGCGCUCAUCAGAGGUGAUCAGCAGCGCCCAGAGGGUCCCUUCGAUCUGCCUGGUUCGGGUCAUGUCAGACACCUCUGCAUGCCGAAGCCCGGGGCUGUGGAUGUGCAGGCGGGGAGCACAAAUGGGCCAGAGACACUGCUGGGGAUGUGGCUGA